This 479-nucleotide ribosomal RNA is filed under the name uncultured bacterium. Its description in RNAcentral is "partial 16S ribosomal RNA". It matches the Rfam family "Bacterial small subunit ribosomal RNA", at positions 28 to 507 of the family's 1533-position model. The record is from RNAcentral.
GAUGAACGCUAGCGGGAGGCCUAACACAUGCAAGCCGAGCGGUAUUUGUUCUUCGGAACAGAGAGAGCGGCGCACGGGUGCGGAACACGUGUGCAACCUGCCUUUAUCUGGGGGAUAGCCUUUCGAAAGGAAGAUUAAUACCCCAUAAUAUAUUGAGUGGCAUCAUUUGAUAUUGAAAACUCCGGUGGAUAGAGAUGGGCACGCGCAAGAUUAGAUAGUUGGUGAGGUAACGGCUCACCAAGUCAAUGAUCUUUAGGGGGCCUGAGAGGGUGAUCCCCCACACUGGUACUGAGACACGGACCAGACUCCUACGGGAGGCAGCAGUGAGGAAUAUUGGACAAUGGGUUAGCGCCUGAUCCAGCCAUCCCGCGUGAAGGACGACGGCCCUAUGGGUUGUAAACUUCUUUUGGAUAGGGAUAAACCUACUCUCGUGAGAGUAGCUGAAGGUACUAUACGAAUAAGCACCGGCUAACUCCGUG